RNAcentral lists this ribosomal RNA (460 nucleotides) under uncultured bacterium. RNAcentral's name for it is "partial 16S ribosomal RNA". It matches the Rfam family "Bacterial small subunit ribosomal RNA", at positions 338 to 795 of the family's 1533-position model. The record is from RNAcentral.
CCUACGGGCGGCAGCAGUGAGGAAUAUUGGUCAAUGGGCGGAAGCCUGAACCAGCCAAGUCGCGUGAGGGAUUAAGGCCCUGCGGGUCGUAAACCUCUUUUGCCGGGGAGCAGAGGUCCGGACGUGUCCGGGCCGGGACAGUACCCGGCGAAAAAGCAUCGGCUAACUCCGUGCCAGCAGCCGCGGUAAUACGGAGGUUGCGAGCGUUAUCCGGAUUUAUUGGGUUUAAAGGGUGCGUAGGCGGGCAUUUAAGCCGGCGGUCAAAUGUCGGGGCUCAACCCCGGCCUGCCGUCGGAACUGGGUGCCUUGAGUGGGCGAGAGGUAUGCGGAAUGCGGGGUGUAGCGGUGAAAUGCAUAGAUAUCACGCAGAACCCCGAUUGCGAAGGCAGCAUACCGGCGCCCUACUGACGCUGAGGCACGAAAGUGCGGGUAUCGAACAGGAUUAGAUACCCUUGUAGUC